UUCAAGUCCCCAGUACCACAUCUUUUCUCUUCACACACACCUCACAGCAGCAAGUCGUGGAGGCUGACCAGUGAGUAGCAGCAGUGCCUCAUGUCCACCGCCUUAGUGUCGCGUGAAGGAAGCCCCGCGCUGCCUGCCUGCCUCCUCACAAUGCCUGGCCGUCAUACCUCAACCCUGCCGCCUUUGCAUAAACGCUGCCUGCACACCUGUCAUGGAAGGACCAGGCGCUCGACUGAUAAGAAGCACUGCCAGCCUGCCAGGGAGAUUUACGCCCACCGCCACGUGGGAGAGAUGGUGCUUGCUCUUUCCUUCUUUUGUUCGUUCAUGUCUUCAAUCUUCGCUCGCUUCGCUCAAACCCAAUAAAUACUUUAAGUAUGAUAUUCUCUUCGCCUUGACUGAGAAACAGAUCUACUUAACCUUAUGACUGAUUAAAAAAAAAAUAAUAAUAAUGUGAGGAACGCUACAACUAUU
Portunus trituberculatus (swimming crab) is the source of this 471-nucleotide long non-coding RNA. RefSeq lists it as uncharacterized. The record is from RefSeq and is a predicted model, not a curated record. The transcript has 2 exons. NCBI's taxonomy places the organism in Eukaryota, Metazoa, Arthropoda, Malacostraca, Decapoda, Portunidae.